RNAcentral lists this ribosomal RNA (274 nucleotides) under uncultured bacterium. RNAcentral's name for it is "partial 16S ribosomal RNA". It matches the Rfam family "Bacterial small subunit ribosomal RNA", at positions 333 to 624 of the family's 1533-position model. The record is from RNAcentral.
AGGAAGCUACGGGGGGCAGCAGUGGGGAAUAUUGCACAAUGGGGGAAACCCUGAUGCAGCAACGCCGCGUGAGUGAAGAAGUAUUUCGGUAUGUAAAGCUCUAUCAGCAGGGAAGAAGAUGACGGUACCUGAGUAAGAAGCCCCGGCUAACUACGUGCCAGCAGCCGCGGUAAUACGUAGGGGGCAAGCGUUAUCCGGAUGUACUGGGUGUAAAGGGAGCGUAGACGGUGAGACAAGUCUGAAGUGAAAGCCAGGGGCUCAACACCGGGACGGC